RNAcentral lists this ribosomal RNA (764 nucleotides) under uncultured Acinetobacter sp. RNAcentral's name for it is "bacterial SSU rRNA". It matches the Rfam family "Bacterial small subunit ribosomal RNA", at positions 83 to 842 of the family's 1533-position model. Lineage: Bacteria; Pseudomonadati; Pseudomonadota; Gammaproteobacteria; Moraxellales; Moraxellaceae. The record is from RNAcentral.
GUAACUGACCUAGCGGCGGACGGGUGAGUAAUGCUUAGGAAUCUGCCUAUUAGUGGGGGACAACAUUCCGAAAGGAAUGCUAAUACCGCAUACGCCCUACGGGGGAAAGCAGGGGAUCUUCGGACCUUGCGCUAAUAGAUGAGCCUAAGUCGGAUUAGCUAGUUGGUGGGGUAAAGGCCUACCAAGGCGACGAUCUGUAGCGGGUCUGAGAGGAUGAUCCGCCACACUGGGACUGAGACACGGCCCAGACUCCUACGGGAGGCAGCAGUGGGGAAUAUUGGACAAUGGGCGCAAGCCUGAUCCAGCCAUGCCGCGUGUGUGAAGAAGGCCUUUUGGUUGUAAAGCACUUUAAGCGAGGAGGAGGCUCCUUUAGUUAAUACCUAAAGAGAGUGGACGUUACUCGCAGAAUAAGCACCGGCUAACUCUGUGCCAGCAGCCGCGGUAAUACAGAGGGUGCGAGCGUUAAUCGGAUUUACUGGGCGUAAAGCGUGCGUAGGCGGCUUUUUAAGUCGGAUGUGAAAUCCCUGAGCUUAACUUAGGAAUUGCAUUCGAUACUGGAAAGCUAGAGUAUGGGAGAGGAUGGUAGAAUUCCAGGUGUAGCGGUGAAAUGCGUAGAGAUCUGGAGGAAUACCGAUGGCGAAGGCAGCCAUCUGGCCUAAUACUGACGCUGAGGUACGAAAGCAUGGGGAGCAAACAGGAUUAGAUACCCUGGUAGUCCAUGCCGUAAACGAUGUCUACUAGCCGUUGGGGCCUUUGAGGCUUUA